UGGGGAAUAUUGGGCAAUGGGCGCAAGCCUGACCCAGCAACGCCGCGUGAAGGAAGAAGGCUUUCGGGUUGUAAACUUCUUUUGUCGGGGACGAAACAAAUGACGGUACCCGACGAAUAAGCCACGGCUAACUACGUGCCAGCAGCCGCGGUAAUACGUAGGUGGCAAGCGUUAUCCGGAUUUACUGGGUGUAAAGGGAGCGUAGACGGUUGAUCAAGUCUGAUGUGAAAGCCCGGGGCUCAACCCCGGGACUGCAUUGGAAACUGAACAGCUGGAGUGCAGGAGAGGUAAGUGGAAUUCCUAGUGUAGCGGUGAAAUGCGUAGAUAUUAGGAGG
RNAcentral lists this ribosomal RNA (335 nucleotides) under uncultured Flavonifractor sp. RNAcentral describes it as "bacterial SSU rRNA". It matches the Rfam family "Bacterial small subunit ribosomal RNA", at positions 355 to 704 of the family's 1533-position model. The record is from RNAcentral. Lineage: Bacteria; Bacillati; Bacillota; Clostridia; Eubacteriales; Oscillospiraceae.